Molecule: ribosomal RNA, 252 nt
Filed under: uncultured bacterium
Lineage: Bacteria
Description: partial 16S ribosomal RNA
Rfam family: Bacterial small subunit ribosomal RNA
Source: RNAcentral
UACGUAGGUGGCGAGCGUUAUCCGGAAUGAUUGGGCGUAAAGGGUGCGUAGGCGGCCUGCUAAGUCUGGAGUGAAAGGUACCGGCUCAACCGGUACAGGCUCUGGAAACUGGCGGGCUAGAGAGCAGGAGAGGGCGGUGGAACUCCAUGUGUAGCGGUGAAAUGCGUAGAGAUAUGGAGGAACACCAGUGGCGAAGGCGGCUUCCUGGUCUGCAACUGACACUGAGGCGCGAAAGCGUGGGGAGCAAACAGG